This is a small nuclear RNA of Ursus americanus (American black bear), 103 nucleotides long. The record is from Ensembl. NCBI's taxonomy places the organism in Eukaryota, Metazoa, Chordata, Mammalia, Carnivora, Ursidae.
GUUCCCUUUGGCAGCAUGUACUAAAGCUGGAAUGAUACAGAGAAGAUUAGCAUGGCCCCUGUGCAAGUCAUUUAUGCAAAUUCUUGAAGUGUUUUAUUUUUAU